Molecule: long non-coding RNA, 339 nt
Organism: Panicum virgatum (switchgrass)
Lineage: Eukaryota; Viridiplantae; Streptophyta; Magnoliopsida; Poales; Poaceae
Exons: 3
Source: RefSeq, a predicted model, not a curated record
UGGAUUGAGUCCAAUCUUUUACUGGUCCCAGGUGAACUUGAUAAACAUAUGGUCCAUUGUGAAGGGAUCUUGUUUUGCGCUUGAUAUGAAACUUUACUGAUGGCACUGUCAGGGCUGGAGGUACAUUACUGUUGGUCAGCUCUCCAUCGCAAGAAAAAACAUGCAGAGGUUAGUUCCAUAUUGGUCAGCACUGACAAUAUUUUUUUUGUUUCUGCAUAUUUCUUCCAUGCAUGUGAUGUUAGUUCUAUUUAAUUUAUCAACAAAUCCCAUUGACAUCUAAAUUAAAACACAUUCAAUAUGUGGAAUUGUAUAGAUGGAUUUUUAAGAGAAGAGAUGCAA